RNAcentral lists this ribosomal RNA (460 nucleotides) under uncultured bacterium. RNAcentral describes it as "partial 16S ribosomal RNA". It matches the Rfam family "Bacterial small subunit ribosomal RNA", at positions 338 to 795 of the family's 1533-position model. The record is from RNAcentral.
CCUACGGGUGGCAGCAGUGAGGAAUAUUGGUCAAUGGACGAGAGUCUGAACCAGCCAAGUAGCGUGAAGGAUGACUGCCCUAUGGGUUGUAAACUUCUUUUAUAUGGGGAUAAAACGUUCCACGUGUGGGAUUUUGUAUGUACCAUAUGAAUAAGGAUCGGCUAACUCCGUGCCAGCAGCCGCGGUAAUACGGAGGGUCCGAGCGUUAUCCGGAUUUGUUGGGUUUAAAGGGAGCGUAGGUGGAUUGUUAAGUCAGUUGUGAAAGUUUGCGGCUCAACCGUAAAAUUGCAGUUGAAACUGGCAGGCUUGAGUACAGUAGAGGUGGGUGGAAUUCGUGGUGUAGCGGUGAAAUGCGUAGAGAUGACGAAGAACUCCGAUUGCGAAGGCAGUUCACUGGACUGAAACUGACACUGAGGUUCGAAAGUGUGGGUAUCAAACAGGAUUAGAUACCCGUGUAGUC